CCCUUAGAUGUUCUAGGCCGCACGCGUGCUACACUGAGUGGAUCAGCGGGUCAGGUUGCGCGAAAGCGUUUCCUAAUCUUUAAAUCCGCUCGUGAUGGGGAUUGACGGUUGCAAUUUUCUGUCAUGAACGAGGAAUACCUUGUAAGCGCGGGUCAUCAUCCCGCGCUGAAUACGUCCCUGCCCUUUGUACACACCGUCCGUCGCUCCUACCGAUUGAGUGGUCCGGUGAGGCUUUGGGAUCUGAGCGGAAAGAGCGUUUCGCUGUUUCUGCUCGGAAAACUCAGUCGAACCUUAUCAUUUAGAGGAAGGAGAAGUCGUAACA
This 322-nucleotide ribosomal RNA is filed under the name uncultured eukaryote. RNAcentral describes it as "partial 18S ribosomal RNA". It matches the Rfam family "Eukaryotic small subunit ribosomal RNA", at positions 1470 to 1796 of the family's 1831-position model. The record is from RNAcentral.